Molecule: ribosomal RNA, 425 nt
Filed under: uncultured prokaryote
Description: bacterial SSU rRNA
Rfam family: Bacterial small subunit ribosomal RNA
Source: RNAcentral
UGGGGAAUUUUAGACAAUGGGCGAAAGCCUGACCCAGCAAUGCCGCGUGCAGGACGAAGUCCUUCGGGAUGUAAACUGCUGUCAGGGGUCCGCAAGCGAAGGGGUCCAACAGGCCCUGGAGUUGAGCAGCCCCAGAGGAAGCCUCGACUAACUCUGUGCCAGCAGUCGCGGUAAGACAGCGGAGGCAAGCGUUGUUCGGAAUCACUGGGCUUAAAGCGCGUGUAGGCGGCUUAGAAAGUGUCGUGUGAAAUCCCGCGGCUCAACCGCGGAACUGCACGGCAAACUACUUGGCUUGAGGUCGAUAGAUGUGCCUGGAACUCUAGGUGGAGCGGUGAAAUGCGUAGAUAUCUAGAGGAACGCCAGAAGCGAAAGCGGGGCACUGGGCCGAUUCUGACGCUGAGACGCGAAAGCGUGGGGAGCAAACA